AGUGUUGUGUUCCUGCCAGUAAGUAAGAUUGCCAGAGCUCAACGAGGGUGCGUGAGCUAAGGUCGGCAACGCGCAUGUAGCACCUCUGGAGUUGCAGGCGUCCAUAGGCUACGGUGACUGCUUACCAUCAGGCGGCCCGUAUGCUUGUUUGCCACCUAUGUGGUAUAAAA
This is a long non-coding RNA of Cydia amplana, 170 nucleotides long. RefSeq lists it as uncharacterized. The record is from RefSeq and is a predicted model, not a curated record. Lineage: Eukaryota; Metazoa; Arthropoda; Insecta; Lepidoptera; Tortricidae. The transcript is spliced from 2 exons.